Molecule: ribosomal RNA, 529 nt
Filed under: uncultured bacterium
Lineage: Bacteria
Description: bacterial SSU rRNA
Rfam family: Bacterial small subunit ribosomal RNA
Source: RNAcentral
UGAACGCUGGCGGGGGCCUAACAAUGCAAGUCGAGCGGUAACAGGUGUAGCAAUACAUGCUGACGAGCGGCGGACGGGUGAGCAAUAUUUGGGAAUCUGCCUAUUAGUGGGGGAUAACCCGGGGAAACUCGGGCUAAUACCGCAUACGCACUACGGUGGAAAGCCGGGGACCGCAAGGCCUGGCGCUAUUAGAUGAGCCCAAAUCGGAUUAGCUAGUUGGUGAGGUAACGGCUCACCAAGGCGACGAUCCGUAGCUGGUCUGAGAGGACGACCAGCCACACCGGAACUGAGACACGGUCCGGACUCCUACGGGAGGCAGCAGUGGGGAAUAUUGGACAAUGGGGGCAACCCUGAUCCAGCGACGCCGCGUGGGUGAAGAAGGCUUGCGGGUUGUAAAGCCCUUUCGGUUGGGAAGAACAGUAUCGACCUAACACGUCGGUACCUUGACGUAACCAACAAAAGAAGCACCGGCUAACUCUGUGCCAGCAGCCGCGGUAAUACAGAGGGUGCGAGCGNUUAUCGGAAUUAC